RNAcentral lists this ribosomal RNA (301 nucleotides) under uncultured bacterium. Its description in RNAcentral is "partial 16S ribosomal RNA". It matches the Rfam family "Bacterial small subunit ribosomal RNA", at positions 509 to 807 of the family's 1533-position model. The record is from RNAcentral.
CAGCCGCCGCGGUAAUACGUAGGGUGCGAGCGUUAAUCGGAAUUACUGGGCGUAAAGCGUGCGCAGGCGGUUUUGUAAGACAGGCGUGAAAUCCCCGGGCUCAACCUGGGAAUGGCGCUUGUGACUGCAAAGCUAGAGUGCGGCAGAGGGGGAUGGAAUUCCGCGUGUAGCAGUGAAAUGCGUAGAUAUGCGGAGGAACACCGAUGGCAAAGGCAAUCCCCUGGGCCUGCACUGACGCUCAUGCACGAAAGCGUGGGGAGCAAACAGGAUUAGAUACCCCUGUAGUCCCUGUCUCUUAUAC